GAUGAACGCUGGCGGCGUGCCUAAUACAUGCAAGUCGAGCGAACAGACGAGGAGCUUGCUCCUCUGACGUUAGCGGCGGACGGGUGAGUAACACGUGGAUAACCUACCUAUAAGACUGGGAUAACUUCGGGAAACCGGAGCUAAUACCGGAUAAUAUAUUGAACCGCAUGGUUCAAUAGUGAAAGACGGUUUUGCUGUCACUUAUAGAUGGAUCCGCGCCGCAUUAGCUAGUUGGUAAGGUAACGGCUUACCAAGGCAACGAUGCGUAGCCGACCUGAGAGGGUGAUCGGCCACACUGGAACUGAGACACGGUCCAGACUCCUACGGGAGGCAGCAGUAGGGAAUCUUCCUCAAUGGGCGAAAGCCUGACGGAGCAACGCCGCGUGAGUGAUGAAGGUCUUCGGAUCGUAAAACUCUGCUAUUAGGGAAGAACAAAUGUGUAAGUAACUAUGCACGUCUUGACGGUACCUAAUCAGAAAGCCACGGCUAACUACGUG
This 497-nucleotide ribosomal RNA is filed under the name uncultured bacterium. Its description in RNAcentral is "partial 16S ribosomal RNA". It matches the Rfam family "Bacterial small subunit ribosomal RNA", at positions 28 to 507 of the family's 1533-position model. The record is from RNAcentral.